GGGUGGGCUUUGCGAAGAUGGCGGCGCUGGGGGUGCUGGAGUCAGACCUGCCAAGUGCCGUGACACUUCUGAAAAAUCUCCAGGAGCAAGUGAGUAGUGUCGCCUCUGGAAUAAAUUAGUCACGGAUUGGCUUUGACUUUAUGUACUUCACCUCAAAACUUUGGUGAUUGAGAUACAUGAAUGCUUCCAAAAACCUUAAGAGUAAAAUGAUGUAAUGAAAACCUUUUCACGCCAGAAUUCUAAGUUAUUGAUUCUGCACCCAAGGGAAUAC
RNAcentral lists this small RNA (271 nucleotides) under Pongo abelii (Sumatran orangutan). RNAcentral's name for it is "retained intron". Lineage: Eukaryota; Metazoa; Chordata; Mammalia; Primates; Hominidae. The record is from RNAcentral.